AAGUCGUAACAAGGUCUCCGUAGGUGAACCUGCGGAAGGAUCAUUACUGAUUAGGGUCUUCUGGGCCCGAUCUCCAACCCUAUGUUUAAUUAUCCUUGUUGCUUUGGCAGGCCCGUCUUUCGGGACCGCCGGAGGUUUUUGCCUCUGGCCAGUGCCAGCCAGUAGCCAAUUUAAAUUCUUUAUAAUUAUGAAGUCUGAAUCUUUAAUUAAAUUAAUUAAAA
Molecule: unclassified non-coding RNA, 221 nt
Filed under: plant metagenome
Description: partial contains small subunit ribosomal RNA and internal transcribed spacer 1
Rfam family: Eukaryotic small subunit ribosomal RNA (bases 1-46)
Source: RNAcentral